Molecule: ribosomal RNA, 253 nt
Filed under: uncultured prokaryote
Description: partial 16S ribosomal RNA
Rfam family: Bacterial small subunit ribosomal RNA
Source: RNAcentral
GACGAACCGUGCGAACGUUAUUCGGAAUCACUGGGCUUAAAGGGUGCGUAGGCGGGUUGCCAAGUCUGUGGUGAAAUCCUCCGGCUUAACCGGAGAACUGCCGUGGAUACUGGCGACCUCGAGGGGGGCAGGGGCUUGCGGAACUGUGCGUGGAGCGGUGAAAUGCGUUGAUAUGCACAGGAACUCCGGUGGCGAAAGCGGCGAGCUGGACCCUUACUGACGCUGAGGCACGAAAGCCAGGGGAGCGAACGGG